UGACAUGUAGGAUGUGGGACUAACUCCCAUC
RNAcentral lists this non-coding RNA (31 nucleotides) under Homo sapiens (human). Lineage: Eukaryota; Metazoa; Chordata; Mammalia; Primates; Hominidae. The record is from RNAcentral.